Molecule: transfer RNA, 77 nt
Filed under: Clostridium sp.
Lineage: Bacteria; Bacillati; Bacillota; Clostridia; Eubacteriales; Clostridiaceae
Also listed under: 3 other names
Description: tRNA-Arg
Rfam family: tRNA
About the family: Transfer RNA (tRNA) molecules are approximately 80 nucleotides in length.
Source: RNAcentral
GGGUCAAUAGCUCAGUUGGAUAGAGCAUACGCCUUCUAAGCGUAGGGUCGGGGGUUCGAAUCCCUCUUGUCCCACCA